UAUCUCUGUAGAGUCUGCAUAUCAAUAAGCGGAGGAAAAGAAACUAACAAGGAUUCCCUUAGUAACGGCGAGUGAAGCGGGAAGAGCUCAAAUUUGAAAUCUUCAAGGUUCUACCUUGACGAAUUGUAGUUUAAAGAAGUGUUUUCUGUUAGGAGUUGAGUACAAAGUUCCUUUGGAAUCGGGACAUCAUAGAGGGUGAGAAUCCCGUAUUUGACUUAUUCAUUCUAGCUUUGUGAUACACUUUCAAAGAGUCGGAUUGUUUGGGAAUGCAGUCCAAAAUGGGUGGUAAAUUUCAUCUAAAGCUAAAUAUUGGCGAGAGACCGAUAGCGAACGAGUACCGUGAGGGAAAGAUGAAAAGAACUUUGAAAAGAGAGUUAAACAGUACGUGAAAUUGUCAAAAGGGAAGCGUUUGACACCAGUGUUGUUUUUCCGAAAAUCAAUUACGAAUGGCUUGAUUCUGUGUUGUAUUGACCUUAUCAGCUUUCUUCACUUUUUUCGAGUCUUUCUUAAUGCACUUUUCGGUUAACAAGUCAACAUCAAUUUCUUUUGUUGUAAAAGAGUAUUCGGAAGGUGGCUUUCUUUUCGGAGAAAGUGUUUAUAGCCCUAUACUUCUACAAUCGGAGAGAUUGAGGUCUGCAGCGUAGAUCCUUCGGGGUUAGAUACAUUUGUGCUAAGUUGUAGCUUUUCAUAGACAACUUGUUGACUAUGUUUAGUCAUGCGGCUUACUCGCUUAUGCUAUUUUACCUACGCUUAGGAUGUUGACUGAUAUGUAGUCGUA
This 778-nucleotide ribosomal RNA is filed under the name uncultured Neocallimastigales. Its description in RNAcentral is "partial large subunit ribosomal RNA". It matches the Rfam family "Eukaryotic large subunit ribosomal RNA", at positions 24 to 644 of the family's 3401-position model. The record is from RNAcentral. Lineage: Eukaryota; Fungi; Neocallimastigomycota; Neocallimastigomycetes; Neocallimastigales.